AGAACUAUUGCUAAAGGAUAUUAUAAUAAAAACCCAGGCUACUGAAUUAUUUAAAACUAUAAGAUUGCAGUCGUUAAACUAAUUUUUAUUUUAUUUAUUUAUUUGAGACAGGGUCUUGUUCUGUCACCUAGGCUGGAGUACAGUAGUGUGAUCAUAGUUCACUGCAGCCUCGACCUCCCGGACUCAAGCAAUCCUCCCACCUCUGCUGACCAAGUAGCUGGGACUACAGACAUGUGCCACCAUGCCUCACUAAGGGAGAAGAAAAGCAUAAGGAAAAGAGGAGGAUUGUUAUAGUGCCAUCAUGUGGAUACUUUGUUUUCUUCAAAUGUAACUUUUUAUAAUAGAAACUAGAAAACCCAGCCAUCCCACACCCAGGCUGUGCAAAGAAAUUGGAGCCAAAGGUUUUUUUUGCCAUGUUCUGAAAAGCCUACUUUCAAAGCCAUCGCCUAUAAUCCUUUUUCAGAUCAUAACGACUCUGCUUUCAAAACCAGGUAAGGGCAAUGCAGACAUAAUUUAUCCUUUUUCCUUAUUGCUAACAGGAGUUAUAAUGAUAACAUCAGACGUACUGUCAUAAAGUAAAUUGCCCUUUUCUUUAAAAUCUUAGUAUUCAGCCUAUUUUCAAAGUCAUCACCUAUAAUCCUUUUUCAGAUCAUAACCACUCUGCUUUCAAAACCAGGUAAGGGCAAUGCAGACACAAUUUAUCCUUUUUCUAACAGGAGUUACAAUGAUAACAUCAGACCCACUAUCUUUCCAUUUGGGCUGCCAUAACAAAAUGCUGUAGAUUGGGUGGCUUAUAAACAACAGACAUUUGGUCGGGUGCAGUGGCUCACGCCUGUAAUCCCAGCACUUUGGGAGGCCGAGGCGGGCGGAUCAGGAGAUCAAGACCAUCCUGGCUGACACAGUGAAACCCCGUCUCUACUAAACAUAC
This 928-nucleotide long non-coding RNA is filed under the name Rhinopithecus bieti (black snub-nosed monkey). Its description in RNAcentral is "lncRNA (ENSRBIG00000045563.1)". The record is from RNAcentral. Lineage: Eukaryota; Metazoa; Chordata; Mammalia; Primates; Cercopithecidae.